This is a long non-coding RNA of Podarcis muralis (Common wall lizard), 2180 nucleotides long. RefSeq lists it as uncharacterized. NCBI's taxonomy places the organism in Eukaryota, Metazoa, Chordata, Lepidosauria, Squamata, Lacertidae. The record is from RefSeq and is a predicted model, not a curated record.
ACCCUGGGUGAACACCUGGAAUCUUGCACCACUUGAAUAUUGGGGUGGCGUACAACAAUGUGUAAUGCAUUUUCCAUCCUCGGGAAAUACUUUCCACGAUGACUUGAGUGUGUUGCAGAUGAUUAUUGGACACAUUCAAGGGCCAGGCAUCAGCCAUGCCUAUUGAGGGCAUGACUUGGAAGAUAUCCCACAAGCUGGUAUUGCUGCACAUUGCAGAGGAAGAUUGGUGGUGAUGGACGAGCUCUCAUUCAGGGAAGCUUGUUUCACCCAUCUUUUCAGUGAGGACACCCCCUCUCCCAAUAAACUUCUAAGGAACAACGUGGUUCCACAGGAAGAUACUGCCUGAAAAAAGACGGACCUAGAAACCUGUAAUGGAAGCACCUUAUGAACACAGGGAAAGAAGACCCCACCACCAUUGUUUAGCAGCAAGGAGGCCUCAGUCCAUUGCUACUUCCAGCUUCUUCAUCUGUUGUCGUCACAUAUAUCGCCAUGAUGAAACUAGGGACUAACAUGUCGCUGAAAUGGAGCAAAUGGUUUUGACUCAGGCUUCUUAUGUGAAUUUAUGAUGGCUUAAAGAAGAGACGGUGGUCCUAAUAAUCCAGGAUUAGAAACAGAAAAUGUAGAAAACCAUGGGGUCGCAACUGGAAGGAAGAUCAUUCAUUUCAGUUCAAGACAGGAAAUAAAUGCAAAAGACUUCGUUUUCUCGUGUAUGGAAAGCAGGCCUCAGAUAAACAACGUAGUCCAGAAAACACACGUUUGUGUGUUAACUCUGUUACAUGCACACAGCUUGAGGCAAGGCGCGUCUAUAAAUAAAAAACGCCCCACCCACCCUUCGUCGAAAUCUGUGGGGAAUUUAGUGAGUGUGUGUUUUUGUAAGAUAUUUCUCUUCAAUUAGGCCACACCGUACAGUGGCUUUAUAUGAAAGGCAGCCUAGAGACAGAGCGAGCGCAGGGUGGCUCUGUGGAAGUGAGAGUACAUUGUAAUGAUAGCAGCCGUGCUCGGGUUGCGAGUGUCAUUCACCUCUUAUUCUUAAUCAAAAGGCUUCCAAAUCCCUUCUUGAGGCACGUCCUCUGGAAAUGAAGGGACUGCCAGAGGAAUCAUUUGAAUGUGGCAGCCCUUGAUAAUGAUGAAAUGAAUAAAAGGAGUCCCCUUAUGAGAAGCGGUGUCUGGUCCAAGUCAAGUUUAAAGAGUGAGAACCAUAAGAAGCGAGAUCAGCAGGGGUCUUCCGGUUGCCCAUCAAAGAGUUGGCACCUGGGUAGCAGAUGGAGCAGACACACACCUGACCACAGCCUUCCCUGCUAUGCAGCCAGUGAGGCAAAUAAUGUAAUUUUUGGUGGAAGGAGAGAUGCAGUGGAAUAGAAACAACGCCGUAUGCAACUAGUAGAUGGCGGGAUGGAAAACGAUGCCUUCUUACAUCCCUCCUUCCCAGUAACUCUUAUCUGUUUCAUUGCAAGUAUAUUGUAAGCAGCUUCAAUAACUAAUAGGUGAGAUGUAAAUUCUAAUUAAUAAAUAUUGCUGUGGAGACCCCUUCCCUUUUCUGCUUGAAAGGAUGCCAGAAAAUUUCUAAUCUCUUGCAUGUUUGUUCUGCCCACGCACCUUGAUCAUAUAACCUUAAAGGGGGGUGGGGGGCACCAGCCAAGUGCAUAUGAGGCUGCUUGUGUGCUUUCUGUGGCAUUAGCAUCUGCCAGGGGUGCUGCAAGUCCCUGUGUGUAAGAGAAAUCCUCCCCGCGGGAUUUGCUUAGUGCGAGAGAAUGAUUAGCAAUUGCUAGUGAUUAGUAAUUUUCUCCCACAGAUGGCUUUUCUGCAUUCCUGUAGAGCUCCACAUACACGGUGGCUCUGCCAAUGCACUGCAAAGGCAGAAAACACUAUGUGGCAGGAAAGGAAGAAAUAUCUGGCAGGCUUCUCCUCCCCCCUCCCUUUUGUGUUAUUGUUAUAAACAAGCAGCCUAAUCGCACUGGCAAAUAAGCAAGAAGGGGAACAAAUGAGCUGGGUUCUGAAUUAUUUUGUACACAUGGGGCGAGAAUCAUUCCAUGUAAAUCAAAGUUCUCCAGGGGAUCAGGGCUACAUUAAAGUGCAUGUUGGGUUGGGAGGAGGUAGACGCCCAGUGAACCAGGCAGCUUAGAGGUUGAAUUGCACACUUCCCAUGAGGUUAGGAAUCUAUCGUUCUACCAAAAUAAUAA